Molecule: long non-coding RNA, 220 nt
Filed under: Setaria viridis
Lineage: Eukaryota; Viridiplantae; Streptophyta; Magnoliopsida; Poales; Poaceae
Description: long non-coding RNA (SVIR_LNC007676)
Source: RNAcentral
UCAGCAUAAGCCGAAGAAAAUGAGCGCGUUGGAAAAAUCAAUGCUUUGUUAUUUGCAACAACGUCAUGAAGAAGCUGUUGCCGUGGGUCAGGAACCUCCUUUUGGUGGUCGUUAUGCUUCACCCUCAGUCCCGGGUGUUUCACGUCCACUUAGUACUACCAUUUCAAGCGGCACAAAUAAACCUAAGGAUGAGGCUGGGUCAGCGGAACCUUCGUCUUCA